RNAcentral lists this ribosomal RNA (256 nucleotides) under uncultured bacterium. Its description in RNAcentral is "partial 16S ribosomal RNA". It matches the Rfam family "Bacterial small subunit ribosomal RNA", at positions 524 to 777 of the family's 1533-position model. The record is from RNAcentral.
UACGGGGGGGGGCAAGCGUUGUUCGGAAUUACUGGGCGUAAAGGGCUCGUAGGCGGCCAACUAAGUCAGACGUGAAAUCCCUCGGCUUAACCGGGGGAACUGCGUCUGAUACUGGAUGGCUUGAGUUCGGGAGAGGGAUGCGGAAUUCCAGGUGUAGCGGUGAAAUGCGUAGAUAUCUGGAGGAACACCGGUGGCGAAGGCGCAUCCUGGACCGACACUGACGCUGAGGAGCGAAAGCCAGGGGGAGCAAAACGGG